UAGACAUUGCUAAUAGACAGGGCAAUUAGCCUCUAUACUGAUAUAAAGAAUGCAUUAGAGCAAAUUAAAUCUUAAUUUGGGAGGUGAUUUUCUGUCUUAUUUUCCUACACAUUAAGGUUUUUUUUGGACACACAACCUAUUCAUUUCUAACAAGAGCUCACCUUGUUCCUGCAUGUUAUGUGUUUUAUUAUGAUCCCUGCUUUACAUGUGAUUGUUUCCACUCUUUCUAUAAAAAAGCCUCACACUCCUGUAUCAGAUCGAGUAUUAUGUAACACCACAACCACACAGAGAGAGAGAGUGUGUUUGGGAAGCAGCUCAUUAAACGAGCCACUUCAACAACAUACUAACUACCUUGCUGGAAAUGGAAACGCUGUCUCCACAACCAUGAAAGAGAGAGGAGCAGUCUCACCAAAGGAGGUGGGGAAAGACAGAGAGGCGCACAAAGAGUCUGUGAAGCAACAGUCACUCCCAGGCAGGACCGUCAGAGGGAAAACAGCCUUGGAGGCAGACAAACUAAUGUGAGGAGCACAGCAGAUAACUACUCUACAUGUGUCACUACCAAAAAAAAAAAAAAACAACAACAAAAAGAAGAGAGGAACCCUAAAGACCGAACUAAAGAAAGAGCAGAAGAGAUAAAAAGGCUAAAAGGAAGGAAAACUUCAAAAAGGACAACAGAGGAGCACUGACUGGGAUUUGUUUUUGUGUGUAGUCUCACUUUACUUUAACUCCAAGUGCAGACUAUCAUCUGUACCUGAGGCAUUAUCCCUCCUAACCCUAAUCUCAGCCUGACUGCUAAUCUUGGGCAGCAUCUGAGCACCUUUCCUCCUCUGGAUGAUUUACAGCAGUCAGACAUUCAGCAGUUAGUCUGGGUUGGCUUGGCUGAGUGUUUGAAAACAACAAAGACUCUCAUAGUGUAAAUACAUCCACCCUGUUUCUGCAUCGUCACGAGGAUGGAUGCCAAAGAAGAGACGCUGAACCUCCUGAACAGGAUUUGGGUAAAGUUGCAGGGUCUGCCCAGAGCCAACGCUAUAGAGGUGGGAGCUUUCUCCAUCCUGCUGACCUUCAUCUUGGUGGUCCUGUUCAUGAUAGUGCUGACCUGCGUGACCUGCUGCUGCUGUCGCAAGACCAAGAUGAAGGGACCAAACAUCUGAGCAAAUGUGCUCCACACAAGGAGAAUUUCAUUUCAUUAUCAUCAGACAUCUAAGCACAGGAGAUGGUGCACACACAAAAAAAUCCCACAAAUGCAGGCUUUCGCUGCAGCACCAUGAAUCCUGUAGAGUCAAUGAAAAAUCCUACUGAGAGUCAUGGUCAUGUAAUUCAUAGGUAAAUAUUAAAGGUCUAUCUCAGUGGAGCCUCAUACCGGGUGUGUUCAGGAGCGCUGAAGAGGCCCAACCCUUGAACAACAAAGCACCUGACAAACACAGAGAAGGAUGUUCUGACUGGCUGCCAGACACACCUGCCAAAGCUGCCAGAUUUUCAGGAGAAUCCACAUUCCUUGGAGCAUCCCUGUGCUCUACAGGGCAACAAAAAUGCCUCUGAUCUGAGGAAAAGGCAGAGCCAACCCCAAUUGCAACUUUAACAGUGCAGACAAAAUAUGAUGUGGGGAAUCGUUUAAAGAAACUGAAGAAGACCAACAGCGGGUUACAAAGUUAGACGUGAAGGGAAAAUGCCAAAUUUGUUUUUUUAAUGUUUUUUCUUAGGCUGACCAUGUGUCAUUCCUAAGGUAUUAGAAUUGGCAGUCAGACAUGGAAUUAGGUAAGAUCCGCCUAAGAGGGGGAGCUGUAAGUGUUCCUCAGCAUAUUCUGUACAACAUGGCAUAAAGACAGAGCAAGUCUGCCCUCCACUGUACACAAACUGAAAUAGCAUGUACGUGAUCAGAGUUGUGUAAUGUAUAAACCUGCAUGUUGUAUUUGUGCAAAGGGCAAAGCCAUUAUGUAAUGAUGUCAUGUUUUGACGUUUCACUUAUUGGCCUACUUGCUUUUAUUUGUAAGCAAUAAACAAAAAGUGACUUGCA
Molecule: long non-coding RNA, 2014 nt
Organism: Seriola aureovittata
Lineage: Eukaryota; Metazoa; Chordata; Actinopteri; Carangiformes; Carangidae
Exons: 4
Source: RefSeq, a predicted model, not a curated record